GGAUUUCUUUGCUUUGAAUGCUCUUUUUAUUUAUUUGAUUUUUUUUACUGUUUUGAUUCGAGCACCAAUGGUGAGUUUAAUGUAGACGAAAUGCACGUCUGGUGUACCAAGUUAUAAGUUUGGUCGUUAUCUUACCUCAUCCUUAUUUUCAUGGAUCAUGAUUGAUAAGAUAUGUUUUGUUUUGAUACUUGUUGAUUAUUGAUUGUAAGACUUUUUCUAUUUGUAAAUGAUGCUGUGAUGUGUUUUGUUUCUGUUUUGUGUUUUAAUCAUAAAUCUAAAUGAUGACCAAUAUAGCUUUUUGCGAU
Molecule: long non-coding RNA, 305 nt
Filed under: Mytilus galloprovincialis (Mediterranean mussel)
Lineage: Eukaryota; Metazoa; Mollusca; Bivalvia; Mytilida; Mytilidae
Source: RNAcentral